CCUCCCAUUUCCUCAAAUCCUUGUUUUCUUUCAUAAUUGUGUGUUUCUUUAUGUCUGCAUAUUGGUCAAACUCAAAGCACAGCCUUGCUUUCUAUAUGACGAAAUGUGUGGGACCCAAAUCAACCAUAGGCAAUUUUUAAAUAAACGACUACUUUGGAGACUCAAGUCAGUUCGAUCAUUAGAACUUUUUUGUUUGCUAAAAAUAUUGGCUGGAAGGAAAGUUUGGUGAACACCAUGUUUUGUUGAACUUGCUUGACUUACGUCCAAAUAGCUUUUCACUUGAGGGUUGGUAACAGUGAAGUCAAGUUUUGAGAUUUUCGUUGUUUGUUUUAGACCUCUUUUAUAUUUAGAUCGCAUGGUGUCAGAAUUGGUCAAGCUAACUAUAAAAGGAGUUUGAUUUUUGUGGUUUGUAUGUCUCUACUUAUGCAUCCAAAAAAAAAGAGAUCUAAAAGCCAUACCUUUAAUUAUAUUCAUUUUUAGAUCUAUACGCAAUCCAUCUUGGAAGGUUGUUUGAGCAUCUGACUAUCAGACAUUAUUCAUUGUUUAUAGUGUGUGCAAUUAAAAUACCUAUUUUAGGACUAAGAUGCAAUGUGUAGAACAAGAUGGGAUUACCUAUUGGUAACCAUAUCUAUAGAUAUAAUGAAUCCUGAGUUUUACUGUGGCCGACGUGUCGGCUCCUCAGCGUCUCCCUCUCUACCAUUCCCUCUCGUGCCCCUUCGAAGCAUCCUCGCGUUUGGCGGGGGGCUUCAGUGGCCCCCACUAUUUUUUUUUCCCAGCGCGGGCGAGCGUAGUGGGUGGCAGCGGCGGGCACGGGCGCGGGUCGCGCGCAACCCUCGCAAAUCCCGCAGGAUGCGGAGAGUUGUCGCUCCCCCCGUACGUGCGGGCGCACGGCGUGGGCUUACAUGUCGUCCGUCCCGUGUCUUUCGUUCCCUCUCGCGCGCCUUCGAUCCCUACCCUCUCUCACCCGCGAUUCCCGCGCCCCUCUGCCCGCCUCUUUCCUUUGUCGCCCUUUCUGUCCCCUGUGGUUCCGCACAGCCUGCAGGGCUCGGAGAGUUGUCGCAGUAUGCCAUCCCCCCACCACCACCCACCCGUUCCUGCGAUCGCAGAUCCUGCAUUCCCGCGCCCUUCUGCCCGUCUCUUUCCUUUGUCGCCCUUCCUAUCCCCUGUGGUUCCGCAAAGCCCGUAGGGCUCGGAGAGUUGUCGCAGUAUGCCAUCUCCCCACCACUACCCAUCCGUUCCUGCGAUCGCAGAUCCCGCAGGGCAUGGAGGGUUGUCGCCCUGUGGAUCUGUAGAUCCUGCAGAUCUCUCUCUCCCCGAUCCUGCCUCUCAUCUUUCUCCGAUCUGCGAGGAUCUUCCCCAUCACGCGAUUGAUCGGAGCUCACAGGCCCCCGCGCCCUCUCCCUGGCCCUCGCGCCCUGUUCGACGAAAUGCCGAGCCGAUCGCAGGGCGCUCCGCGGGCAUCGGAGAGGGAUCGAUCGAUCGAUUGCGGAAGCUUCGAGGUAUUACACGCUUAGAUCUAAUCCCUUUUUGUCGUCUCUCCUUUUUAUUCGGUCUAAAUCGCGCGAUAAUUGUGGUACAAUCGCGCAAUCGCGAUCUCUGCGUGUGUUUAAAUCCUCCCCAAGUUGAAAUUUGGAUGCAAAUUUGGAUCUGUGAAUCGGAUUGGGGAGGUUUCGUUGCUGUUUUACUUUUGGAACAGCUGAAUUGUGGGGAUUCCUAUACAUGUUGCGAUCUCUGAAUUUGAUUGUUAUUUUACUUUUGUAAGAGUUGAGUUGUUGCUUUGUUCGUUGAUUGCAGCCGAAAUUUGUUUGGCGAUUCUUCUGAUGUUGGAUUUGUUAUUUUGCUCAUUGUAGAAUAGUAGGAUCACUGAUUAGUGGAAUAAUCCUUAGUGGAAAUUUUCCUUUUUACUCUGAUUUUGCUCUUGCUAGAAACAAAUUUUGGAUGUUGAUGUUUGGCUGUCAGGUAGUUCUAACACUUUCCAUGCUCUCUGAGCCUUCUCACUUUUGAGUUAGUGAACCCAAACGGUACAUGCCGUACGAUCCCAUCGGCGGCGGCUAAGAAGCAGCUCCUCUAUUGCGCGGAGAGGGUCUCAAAAUCCAUCCCCGUCCACGCGUGUCGGUAUGUAUCAAAACAUGUGAGAUUAAAAGAAAGUGAGCUAUUUUAUAGAAAUAUAAAAUGGCUACUCUAUACUUUCUGAAUAGGCAUAAAAGAUCAUUUUGACACCUAUGAGGUUGCGAUUAAGUGAGCUAUUUUAUAAAGUAGGCAUUUGGUAAAGUAACUCACUUAAUCGCUACUUUAAAAUAGCUAUUUUGAAUCCUUUCUAUAAAGUAGCCUAAGAGUAGCGCAAUCCUUUCUAUACUUUCUUUUACUAAUUCGGAUAUUCUAUCAUCAAAAGGUGUUUGACAGUAGCUAUUUUAUGUGGAGUAUUAGUUGAUUUUCUUUUCACAUUAUUUUUUGUUUAUUAUACUCAUUCAUGUAUACUAUUUGGUGUGAUUUUCACAAGCUGAUUUAAUAUAGAGCUUUUCAUCUUUCUUGCAAGCAUCCAUUUUAUACUGCAGUGGGGAGUUUGGGUGCUCUACUCAUUAUACUUAAGCUCAGCAAGUAAUGAUUUAGAUAGCUGCUUAAUGUUUUACUUGCUUAGGUUCAACAUGUGAUGAUUUGGAUUGUUAGUUAAUGUUUGAGAGGUUAAAAAAACAUCUGUUUUCAACUGAAUUGGUUCCUUUUUUUGUACCCAAAUCGUCCAAACAUGUAUAUUAUGGCUUUUGAUUUAUACAUUUUUUUUUUCCGUAGAAAGAACUUGAAUUUAUUUUCGAUACCAGUUAAGUUUUAUCUUAUUUCCUGCGCCAAUUUCAUUUUCGGGUAUCAGAUUGAGUUUUUUAUGUGUUUUGUAUGAAUUCUUCAGCUGUUUGGUAAAAAAAAAAAAUCCUCAUUGAAUUUUUUUUUUCUUAAGAUUUUUUGUGGGAUUUUGAUUAAUUUCGAUGGUAUCAAUUAGCUCAUUUUUCUAAGAUUGCAUAGUAAGUGGAUGCCUCCUCUAUCAGCUCUUGACUGCUUUCCAUACAAAUCAGUUUCCUUUGAAAUGCAUUUAAGCUAACCAAAUUAACUAUAUUAUAUAGAUGCUAUUGCUUGAUGUUUGCGGAUUCUUUCACUAUGUGUUGGAAAGAUUAAAAUUGUGGAAGCUUGGUGCUGGGAAGUGCAUUACACUCGGGCGCUUAUUGACGGGACCAAGUUCGACUCAACCCGGAAUUGUGGGACGCCGUGGGACGCCCUCAAAUUUUAAGCUUGGUGAAGGUUGACUGGUCUUAUGGCAAUCUCUGCAGCUUGCGAAAGCUGCCAAAUAUUUGGACCUUUUUUGCAAUGGAUUGCUACUGAAUUAUGGUGAAUGUACAGAUUCAAGAAGCCAAGCUGAGCCAAUUUUUCCACGCCUAUAUUUUUGUUAUUUUUUCCAAUUUCGUUUUGCAAUUUUUUUCACUGCUAUUUGUUUGAUCUCUUUGAUUUUCUUCAUCAAAGUUGUAGCUACUGUCAAAGACAAAUUGGUGCAAUACAAUAGUGGGCCUCACAAAGAAGCUGUAGAGCCCUCCCAUUAAGUGGUGCGGUUGGCUCCACAGGCGUAUGCAAAAGUGCUGGUGGUUUGGUUUUUGAAAAUGGAUUGGAGUAGGAUUAUGAGCAAGUAUGCUUUUUAUGUUGAA
Ananas comosus (pineapple) is the source of this 3683-nucleotide long non-coding RNA. RefSeq lists it as uncharacterized. The record is from RefSeq and is a predicted model, not a curated record. Lineage: Eukaryota; Viridiplantae; Streptophyta; Magnoliopsida; Poales; Bromeliaceae. The transcript is spliced from 3 exons.